GGGCAUUUAACUGAAAAAUCCUCUGGUUGCUGUUUAGCAAAUCAGGUCUGAUGUAUCUCCCAUCAACCACUAUUCCACCUUUACGCUCACAACACACACACUUAUACAAACAAUCUGCAUUAUACACACACACUCGUACAAAAACACACUGCAUUAUAUACACACACACUCAUACAAACACACACUCUGCAUUAUAUACACACACACACUCAUACAAACACACACUCUGCAUUAUAUACACACACACUUAUACAAACACACACUCUGCAUUAUAUGCACACACACUUAUACAAAC
This is a non-coding RNA of Pelobates cultripes (western spadefoot toad), 295 nucleotides long. The record is from the annotation of a GenBank genome assembly. NCBI's taxonomy places the organism in Eukaryota, Metazoa, Chordata, Amphibia, Anura, Pelobatidae.